This 492-nucleotide ribosomal RNA is filed under the name uncultured bacterium. Its description in RNAcentral is "partial 16S ribosomal RNA". It matches the Rfam family "Bacterial small subunit ribosomal RNA", at positions 29 to 507 of the family's 1533-position model. The record is from RNAcentral.
AUUGAACGCUGGCGGCAUGCUUUACACAUGCAAGUCGAACGGUAACAGGCCUUCGGGUGCUGACGAGUGGCGAACGGGUGAGUAAUGCAUCGGAACGUACCCAGAGGUGGGGGAUAACGCAGCGAAAGCUGUGCUAAUACCGCAUGUGAUCUGAGGAUGAAAGCGGGGGACCGAGGAGCAAUGUUUGGCCUCGCGCCUUUGGAGCGGCCGAUGUCGGAUUAGCUAGUUGGUGGGGUAAAGGCCUACCAAGGCGACGAUCCGUAGCUGGUCUGAGAGGACGACCAGCCACACUGGGACUGAGACACGGCCCAGACUCCUACGGGAGGCAGCAGUGGGGAAUUUUGGACAAUGGGCGCAAGCCUGAUCCAGCAAUGCCGCGUGCGGGAAGAAGGCCUUCGGGUUGUAAACCGCUUUUGGCAGGAACGAAACGGUGUCCGCUAAUACCGGGCGCUAAUGACGGUACCUGCAGAAUAAGCACCGGCUAACUACGUG